This 82-nucleotide transfer RNA is filed under the name archaeon. Its description in RNAcentral is "tRNA-Leu". It matches the Rfam family "tRNA". Rfam says of the family: Transfer RNA (tRNA) molecules are approximately 80 nucleotides in length. Their secondary structure includes four short double-helical elements and three loops (D, anti-codon, and T loops). Further hydrogen bonds mediate the characteristic L-shaped molecular structure. tRNAs have two regions of fundamental functional importance: the anti-codon, which is responsible for specific mRNA codon recognition, and the 3' end, to which the tRNAs corresponding amino acid is attached (by aminoacyl-tRNA synthetases). tRNAs cope with the degeneracy of the genetic code in two manners: having more than one tRNA (with a specific anti-codon) for a particular amino acid; and 'wobble' base-pairing, i.e. permitting non-standard base-pairing at the 3rd anti-codon position. The record is from RNAcentral.
GCGGGGAUGCCGGAGCGGUCAAACGGACUUGGCUUAGGACCAAGUGCUUAGUGCUACACAGGUUCGAUCCCUGUUCCCCGCA